AAAUAAGAAGCGAAAUAUUGCAAUCAGUUUCGACCUGAAAUUAUGGCAUAAUAAUGUCCUUAUUUA
Molecule: transfer RNA, 66 nt
Filed under: Bryodemella tuberculata diluta
Lineage: Eukaryota; Metazoa; Arthropoda; Insecta; Orthoptera; Acrididae
Also listed under: 3 other names
Description: tRNA-Arg
Source: RNAcentral